RNAcentral lists this ribosomal RNA (1372 nucleotides) under uncultured bacterium. RNAcentral's name for it is "bacterial SSU rRNA". It matches the Rfam family "Bacterial small subunit ribosomal RNA", at positions 28 to 1381 of the family's 1533-position model. The record is from RNAcentral.
GAUGAACGCUGGCGGCGUGCCUAAUACAUGCAAGUCGAGCGAACGGACGAGAAGCUUGCUUCUCUGAUGUUAGCGGCGGACGGGUGAGUAACACGUGGAUAACCUACCUAUAAGACUGGGAUAACUUCGGGAAACCGGAGCUAAUACCGGAUAAUAUUUUGAACCGCGUGGUUCAAAAGUAAAAGACGGUCUUGCUGUCACUUAUAGAUGGAUCCGCGCUGCAUUAGCUAGUUGGUAAGGUAACGGCUUACCAAGGCAACGAUGCAUAGCCGACCUGAGAGGGUGAUCGGCCACACUGGAACUGAGACACGGUCCAGACUCCUACGGGAGGCAGCAGUAGGGAAUCUUCCGCAAUGGGCGAAAGCCUGACGGAGCAACGCCGCGUGAGUGAUGAAGGUCUUCGGAUCGUAAAACUCUGUUAUUAGGGAAGAACAUAUGUGUAAGUAACUGUGCACAUCUUGACGGUACCUAAUCAGAAAGCCACGGCUAACUACGUGCCAGCAGCCGCGGUAAUACGUAGGUGGCAAGCGUUAUCCGGAAUUUUAUGGGCGUAAAGCGCGCGUAGCGGUUUUUUAAGUCUGAUGUGAAAGCCCACGGCUCAACCGUGGAGGGUCAUUGGAAACUGGAAAACUUGAGUGCAGAAGAGGAAAGUGGAAUUCCAUGUGUAGCGGUGAAAUGCGCAGAGAUAUGGAGGAACACCAGUGGCGAAGGCGACUUUCUGGUCUGUAACUGACGCUGAUGUGCGAAAGCGUGGGGAUCAAACAGGAUUAGAUACCCUGGUAGUCCACGCCGUAAACGAUGAGUGCUAAGUGUUAGGGGGUUUCCGCCCCUUAGUGCUGCAGCUAACGCAUUAAGCACUCCGUCUGGGGAGUACGACCGCAAGGUUGAAACUCAAAGGAAUUGACGGGGACCCGCACAAGCGGUGGAGCAUGUGGUUUAAUUCGAAGCAACGCGAAGAACCUUACCAAAUCUUGACAUCCUUUGACAACUCUAGAGAUAGAGCCUUCCCCUUCGGGGGACAAAGUGACAGGUGGUGCAUGGUUGUCGUCAGCUCGUGUCGUGAGAUGUUGGAUUAAGUCCCGCAACGAGCGCAACCCUUAAGCUUAGUUGCCAUCAUUAAGUUGGGCACUCUAAGUUGACUGCCGGUGACAAACCGGAGGAAGGUGGGGAUGACGUCAAAUCAUCAUGCCCCUUAUGAUUUGGGCUACACACGUGCUACAAUGGACAAUACAAAGGGCAGCGAAACCGCGAGGUCAAGCAAAUCCCAUAAAGUUGUUCUCAGUUCGGAUUGUGGUCUGCAACUCGACUACAUGAAGCUGGAAUCGCUAGUAAUCGUAGAUCAGCAUGCUACGGUGAAUACGUUCCCGGGUCU